CCUACGGGAGGCAGCAGUAGGGAAUAUUGCUCAAUGGGGGAAACCCUGAAGCAGCAACGCCGCGUGGAGGAUGAAGGUUUUCGGAUUGUAAACCUCUUUAGGCGGGGAGCAAUGCCGGGCACGCGUGCCCGGAGGGAGAGUACCCGCAGAAUAAGCAUCGGCUAACUCCGUGCCAGCAGCCGCGGUAAUACGGAGGGGGCAAGCGUUAUCCGGAUUUACUGGGUGUAAAGGGGGCGCAGACGGCGAUGCAAGCCAGGAGUGAAAGCCCGGGGCCCAACCGCGGGACUGCUCUUGGAACUGGGUGGCUGGAGUGCAGGAGGGGCAGGCGGAAUUCCUGGUGUAGCGGUGAAAUGCGUAGAUAUCAGGAGGAACACCGGUGGCGAAGGCGGCCUGCUGGACUGCAACUGACGUUGAGGCCCGAAAGCGUGGGGAGCAAACAGGAUUAGAUACCCUAGUAGUC
Molecule: ribosomal RNA, 460 nt
Filed under: uncultured bacterium
Lineage: Bacteria
Description: partial 16S ribosomal RNA
Rfam family: Bacterial small subunit ribosomal RNA
Source: RNAcentral